RNAcentral lists this unclassified non-coding RNA (256 nucleotides) under Bombus terrestris (buff-tailed bumblebee). RNAcentral's name for it is "misc RNA ENSBTSG00005032120.1". Lineage: Eukaryota; Metazoa; Arthropoda; Insecta; Hymenoptera; Apidae. The record is from RNAcentral.
CUACAUUAUAAUUGCCAUUUUAGGCGCAAAAACCGGGCCGCCGUGUUUCCAUUUACAGGUAUCCACCAUCGUGUGUUUCAAAUAUACCGUGUACUUUGUACAGAAAUAUUAGGUUGUCCGAAAAGUUUCUUUCGUUUCAUAAGGUGAUAAUAAAUGAGCAACAAUUUCUGUUUUAUAUUAUUUUAUUGAAUUAGAUAUGAUCCAUUUCGUUCUAUUUCUAUUAUUACAUUCGUGCACAAUUCAAUAAACUAAUAUA